Molecule: ribosomal RNA, 429 nt
Filed under: Bacillota bacterium
Lineage: Bacteria; Bacillati; Bacillota
Description: Firmicutes bacterium partial 16S ribosomal RNA
Rfam family: Bacterial small subunit ribosomal RNA
Source: RNAcentral
UGGGGAAUUUUGGACAAUGGGCGAAAGCCUGAUCCAGCAAUGCCGCGUGUGUGAAGAAGGCCUUCGGGUUGUAAAGCACUUUUGUCCGGAAAGAAAUGGCUCUGGUUAAUACCUGGGGUCGAUGACGGUACCGGAAGAAUAAGGACCGGCUAACUACGUGCCAGCAGCCGCGGUAAUACGUAGGGUCCAAGCGUUAAUCGGAAUUACUGGGCGUAAAGCGUGCGCAGGCGGUUGUGCAAGACCGAUGUGAAAUCCCCGAGCUUAACUUGGGAACUGCAUUGGUGACUGCACGGCUAGAGUGUGUCAGAGGGGGGUAGAAUUCCACGUGUAGCAGUGAAAUGCGUAGAGAUGUGGAGGAAUACCGAUGGCGAAGGCAGCCCCCUGGGAUAACACUGACGCUCAUGCACGAAAGCGUGGGGAGCAAACAGG